GUCAGUCUUUGUCCAGGGGGCCGCCUUCGCCACCGGUAUUCCUCCAGAUCUCUACGCAUUUCACCGCUACACCUGGAAUUCUACCCCCCUCUACAAGACUCUAGCCUGCCAGUUUCGAAUGCAGUUCCCAGGUUGAGCCCGGGGAUUUCACAUCCGACUUGACAGACCGCCUGCGUGCGCUUUACGCCCAGUAAUUCCGAUUAACGCUUGCACCCUCCGUAUUACCGCGGCUGCUGGCACGGAGUUAGCCGGUGCUUCUUCUGCGGGUAACGUCAAUUGCUGAGGUUAUUAACCUCAACACCUUCCUCCCCGCUGAAAGUACUUUACAACCCGAAGGCCUUCUUCAUACACGCGGCAUGGCUGCAUCAGGCUUGCGCCCAUUGUGCAAUAUUCCCCACUGCUGCCUCCCGUAGGAGUCUGGACCGUGUCUCAGUUCCAGUGUGGCUGGUCAUCCUCUCAGAUCAGCUAGGGAUCGUCGCCUAGGUGAGCCGUUACCCCACCUACUAGCUAAUCCCAUCUGGGCACAUCUGAUGGCAAGAGGCCCGAAGGUCCCCCUCUUUGGUCUUGCGACGUUAUGCGGUAUUAGCUACCGUUUCCAGUAGUUAUCCCCCUCCAUCAGGCAGUUUCCCAGACAUUACUCACCCGUCCGCCGCUCG
Molecule: ribosomal RNA, 656 nt
Filed under: Enterobacter mori
Lineage: Bacteria; Pseudomonadati; Pseudomonadota; Gammaproteobacteria; Enterobacterales; Enterobacteriaceae
Description: partial 16S rRNA
Source: RNAcentral